RNAcentral lists this unclassified non-coding RNA (3554 nucleotides) under Patiria miniata (bat star). RNAcentral's name for it is "uncharacterized LOC119719784, transcript variant X1". The record is from RNAcentral. Lineage: Eukaryota; Metazoa; Echinodermata; Asteroidea; Valvatida; Asterinidae.
AAAUCACGCGCCACGAACCUUAAUGAUAUAAGCCAAGGACUGAUUGCUGCGUGACAAGUCGAGCUACCGAGGCGGGAACGGGCGCGCAAUUGGGAUGCUUUCAGAUAUAAUCUAUUGAUGUAACGACCAAAAUGAUAUCGCAAACAGUUGAUUCCUUUGGUUUGAAAAAUCAAGGAGGAUUUGAUUAGUGUCAAAAUUGAUGUCAAAAUCAAGACUGUUGACGUUUUAGACAGACCUUCGAUCGAUUAUGCGUGUCCGAGCAUAAUCGGUUCACCAAAAUUUCGAUUUUUCAGGAAUUUGAGCCUCAUUUGAUUCGAUAUUUCUACGCCAACAUGCCGAGGAUUAAAGUCAAGCCGGCUCAGCAUGAAGAUACUUUGCCCUUUACCGUCGCACUGGAUUCUGCAACUGACAGUUUCUCGCACUUUCAAACAGAAGAGUCCGGAGAGAAGGAGAAGCAACCGGUGAAGGGCAAGAAGCGAGCCCGGGUCAGCCCUUGUCAGACGGUCAGCGACUUCGCGCUGAACGUGUCGUCUGCGCACGGCCUGCCCAACAUCUUUCGCGCCAAAACCAAGCUGGGACGCCUGACAUGGUCCCUGAUCUUCUUCGUCGGGAUUGUCGUGUCCAUCUGGCAGGGGACCCUGAUAGUCGUCAAUUACUUGAACUUUCAAGUUACGACUGAGGUGAAGAUCGUGACGCACAGUUCGCUGGAGUUCCCUUCCGUCACCGUGUGUAACACCAACAAGCUGCGGCUCUCAGCCAUCAGCAGGUCCAGACAUCGACAAAUGUUGGUGGUCGACCACGACGUUUCACUGCCGUACUAUGCCCCUUGUGUUGGUGACGAUUUCCUAUGCAGGGACCGCCCUGUGUGUAUCAAGCCAUACCUGCUGUGUGAUGGCAUCAGGCAAUGCGGUGUGACGGACACCAGCGACGAAGACGACUGCGAUUACGACUUCGGCUCGUGCGCUGAUGACGAGUUCCGCUGUGUCGACUCGGGCAGUCAAUCGGGUCUGUGCAUACACAAAGACAAGGAAUGCGACCGGAACAAAGACUGUUACGGAGGAGAGGACGAAGAUGACUGCGAAUGUAAGAGUUCCGAGUUCAAAUGCGAGAAGCGUGGAGGCUGCAUCCCUAAGGCAUUAGUCUGCGAUGGUUAUUCUAACUGUAUUGACGGCAGUGACGAAAAGACCUGCAUGCCAGACGGGUACUUCCAGUGUGACGAUUCGUCCUUCCGAUGCGUCUCAACGAACACAUGCAUCCCUAAGACAUAUGUCUGCGACAAUGAUAACGACUGUGCUGAUGGGUCAGAUGAGAGCAUAACCGCUUGCGCACUACUUACGACAACUUCUGCUCCAUUUCUGUGCGACUACGAUCGGUUCAGUUGUGGCAAUGGCGUAUGCAUACCGAACAGCUGGCUGUGCGAUUCCGAAGCCGACUGCGCCAAUGGAUUGGACGAGAGGGAGUCACACUGUGGUCUGACCAUCUGUGACGCCCACAAGGUGCGCUGUAGUACGGGCAGUGGGUGCGGCAUCCAGUGUGAUCUGAUAGCAGACUGCCCAGACGGUAGCGACGAGAAAAACUGCCAAUGCGCGACGAGCGCCGACGGAUCGUCCAACUACAUUGAGUCUGUGUCGUGCUCGGGAAUCUAUGGGACCAAUUUUAGCAACCCUUUCUACUAUGACCAGCACCUGAUUUGCAAUAACACCGGUACCAGAUUGCAUCUGAGUUCCUUUUUCAAUUGCAUUGGUGGGCACAUCACUUGUUAUGAGCCAGUCACAAACAUCGAGAAACCCUGCAAAACAGUGUACUCGGAAUGCUACACCAGCCCCAACGGGCAGGAUUACCGUGGCUCAACAACAGACAACACCUGCCUUCCCUGGACUAACCCCGGUAUAGCCGAGGUGGGUUACACCGGGGCAGCCUACCCGGAGUUGGAGGGUGUUGAACCGGGCACUACGGUAGGCCACGCUUGCUGCAGGAACCCGGGCGGGCUGAGGUCGGGGCCGUGGUGCUUCGCCAAGGAAGAGGCAUCCGGCUCGGUCCAUCUCGUCCAACACAAUUGCACGGUGGGGCCGCCGAGCGCUACGUGCUCAAGAGAUCCUUCACCGUCCUCCAGACGUCGACGAUCGACGGGGGAUCAACCGACAGAUUCACCGAGCGAUCUAGUCCGUCAGGCACACCCUGGUAACCAUAGCAACGCCACUUAUUCGUUCUUUUGUCUGAGUGGGGAACGGGUUCCUCUCUGGCAGACAUGUAACGGGUUUCCUGAUUGCGAUGACGGGAGCGAUGAGUGGGCCGCAAACUGCAGUGAUAUUGUGUCAGAAUGUGGGAUCAAUGAAUUCCAAUGUCGAGAGAGGACCCAAGAGGGUACAGUCACGUGUAUACCGAAGUCCUACGUGUGUGACGAUUACCCUGAUUGCCUGACAGGGCAAGAGGCCGGGGAGCCUAGCCAUACACCGUCUGACGAAUCGGCAUGCGCAACAGCAGACGAGACACUACCGGCUGACUACUUCCGCUGUGCUAACGGUCAUAAGAUGAUCCAUAAGUACGACGUCUGCAACACGGUGCCUGAUUGCUUCCCUGAGAAAGAUGAUGAGUACGCUUGCACUUGGGAAAACAGAACAAGUGGGGAGGUACCAGAUCCUUUCGAGUCUCCGCUGUGGUAUCAGAAAUACGCCCCACUGGUUCGAAAAAAGUACCACUACCUCUUCGACGACUUCAGCUAUCGGUGGCGCCCUUUCGACCGUGUCAAAGGUGAAGACCCCCCGGACUGGAACAGCUUCGUUACGUACAGCGCCACACCUGACUACAGCGAUCUCGUGGAAGUUCCCAAACUCAGCAAGGAUGAAGUGCACCAGUUCGGACACCAGAAGGAGGACUUCAUCUUGCAGUGCUCGUAUGAAGAGACGAAAUGCAAUCUGAGCGAUAUUCAGGAGUUCCAGGACGACACAUAUGGAAACUGUUUCACCUUUAACCCAGAGGGGUUCUUUGCUACCUCCACAACAAGCUCUAGAUAUGGUCUCCGGAUGACCCUGUUCUUGGAGCAAUCCGAGUACAUCAGUAUCUUUGGGCAGGAGGCUGGUGUCCGUGUCGCCAUCUCCCCUCCCGGUAUCCGACCAAACCCGACCCACCAUGGGUUCACUGUCAAACCAGGAACAGUGACUUCCAUCGGGCUCAGAUAUAACUUUGUGAACCGGAAGCCACAUCCCUACGGAAAAUGCCAAACGUCUGUUGAGAAUUCACCCAUCAUCGAAGAUGGAGUAGUGCGAGAGAUCAGGGAAACCGAGCAGUAUGACAGAGGGCUCUGUAGGAAAAGCUGCCUUCAUCGCCACAUACUGGAACAGUGCGGUUGUUCGGAUACUCUAGAGCUCGACGGACCACGGUGUGAAAUACUGAACACGGAGCAAGUGAGGUUUACUACACAAAGACAAGCUCAACCUCCGCUUGGCCCUCGGCCAACUUCAUGAAACAUCUUUUGAAAAAUUUACACUCCAUCAACCAGAAAACUAAACACCUAAACGGGAACAACAUCGACAAAAAUAUCGUACGAAUUGAAG